RNAcentral lists this ribosomal RNA (470 nucleotides) under uncultured bacterium. Its description in RNAcentral is "bacterial SSU rRNA". It matches the Rfam family "Bacterial small subunit ribosomal RNA", at positions 28 to 507 of the family's 1533-position model. The record is from RNAcentral.
GACGAACGCUGGCGGCGUGCUUAAUACAUGCAAGUCGAACGGAGCCUAGCCGGUAGUUUACUACAGGCGAAAGCUUAGUGGCGGACGGGUGAGUAACGCGUGGGCAAUCUGCCCCUAAGUCCGGGAUAACAGAGCGAAAGUUCUGCUAAGACCGGAUACUCUUCCUUGGUCGCAUGGCGGAGGAAGGAAAGGAUACGCUUAGGGAUGAGCCCGCGUCCCAUUAGCUAGUUGGUGAGGUAACGGCCCACCAAGGCGACGAUGGGUAGCCGGCCUGAGAGGGUGGACGGCCACACUGGGACUGAGACACGGCCCAGACUCCUACGGGAGGCAGCAGUAGGGAAUUUUCCGCAAUGGGGGAAACCCUGACGGAGCAACGCCGCGUGAGGGAAGAAGGUCUUCGGAUCGUAAACCUUUUGUCAUCGAGGACGAUAAUGACGGUACUCGAGGAGGAAGCCCCGGCUAACUACGUG